CAUCCUCCAAGGCUAAAUACUCCUGACUGACCGAUAGUGAACCAGUACCGUGAGGGAAAGGCGAAAAGAACCCCUGUGAGGGGAGUGAAAUAGAUCCUGAAACCGUAUGCGUACAAGCAGUGGGAGCGGACUUGUUCCGUGACUGCGUACCUUUUGUAUAAUGGGUCAGCGACUUAUAUUCAGUGGCGAGCUUAACCGUCUAGGGGAGGCGUAGGGAAACCGAGUCUUAAUAGGGCGUUUAGUCGCUGGGUAUAGACCCGAAACC
This 265-nucleotide ribosomal RNA is filed under the name Halopseudomonas bauzanensis. Its description in RNAcentral is "Pseudomonas bauzanensis partial 23S ribosomal RNA". It matches the Rfam family "Bacterial large subunit ribosomal RNA", at positions 454 to 722 of the family's 2925-position model. Lineage: Bacteria; Pseudomonadati; Pseudomonadota; Gammaproteobacteria; Pseudomonadales; Pseudomonadaceae. The record is from RNAcentral.